Long non-coding RNA from Phyllostomus discolor (pale spear-nosed bat), 674 nucleotides. RefSeq lists it as uncharacterized. The record is from RefSeq and is a predicted model, not a curated record. NCBI's taxonomy places the organism in Eukaryota, Metazoa, Chordata, Mammalia, Chiroptera, Phyllostomidae. The transcript has 3 exons.
AAAAGUCCAUCAUAAUAUUCAUCCAAAAAAUAAGAAAAGUAACCUCCUUCAAAAGCAUUUCCAAGCCACUUAUAGAUUAAUUUGGCCAAAACAGGUACUGAUGAAAGUAGUUUCAAUAUACUGAUGCCUAAUCCAAGAAUCUACAUGGCAUCCAAUUUCCUGACAAAGUAAAAAAGCCUACGCCUGUCAUUCAAGGUCUUCUGGAAUGUAUCUUGGCCUACAUAUUCUCUUCCAAAACAUUUACAAUUGACAAAACACUGAUAAAAGCUACCAUAAAUGUCAUAAAUAAGCCUAUCUCAUUAUUCAUCUCAUCUCUAAGUUAUUUCUAUCUUUUAAAGCCAUAUGUACAAGCUACAUGUACUCAAUCAGGUGAUUUAUCAGUUAUUCCCAGAACUUUUCAAAUAUUUAUACUCACUAUUAAUAUCACCAUAUGUUUUAUACCAGCAUGUGUAUAAAGAUAUAUUUUAUCUAAAAACAAGAAUUACAGAACAUAAUUAGUGUGAUUUAAAUGAAAUAAUGGAUAACGGCAAAUGCUCAAUAAGAAUUAUGUUACACAUAGAUAUAAUAUCCAAAAAUAGUUAUCAUUAGUUUCAACAAAACUUUUAUUAAUUCACUAUACAAAUAUUUAUCAAGAAUGUACUAUGCAAAACAUUGGGCCACGAUGGGAGUAAAAU